RNAcentral lists this ribosomal RNA (506 nucleotides) under uncultured bacterium. RNAcentral's name for it is "partial 16S ribosomal RNA". It matches the Rfam family "Bacterial small subunit ribosomal RNA", at positions 30 to 523 of the family's 1533-position model. The record is from RNAcentral.
AUUGAACGCUGGCGGUAGGCCUAACACAUGCAAGUCGAACGGCAGCACAGGAGAGCUUGCUCUCUGGGUGGCGAGUGGCGGACGGGUGAGGAAUACAUCGGAAUCUACUUUUUCGUGGGGGAUAACGUAGGGAAACUUACGCUAAUACCGCAUACGACCUACGGGUGAAAGCAGGGGACCUUCGGUCCUUGCGCGAUUGAAUGAGCGGAUGUCGGAUUAGCUAGUUGGCGGGGUAGAGGCCCACCAAGGCGACGAUCCGUAGCUGGUCUGAGAGGAUGAUCAGCCACACUGGAACUGAGACACGGUCCAGACUCCUACGGGAGGCAGCAGUGGGGAAUAUUGGACAAUGGGCGCAAGCCUGAUCCAGCCAUACCGCGUGGGUGAAGAAGGCCUUCGGGUUGUAAAGCCCUUUUGUUGGGAAAGAAAUCCAGCCGGUUAAUACCUGGUUGGGAUGACGGUACCCAAAGAAUAAGCACCGGCUAACUUCGUGCCAGCCGCCGCCGUAA